This 483-nucleotide ribosomal RNA is filed under the name uncultured bacterium. RNAcentral describes it as "partial 16S ribosomal RNA". It matches the Rfam family "Bacterial small subunit ribosomal RNA", at positions 30 to 507 of the family's 1533-position model. The record is from RNAcentral.
AUUGAACGCUGGCGGCAGGCCUAACACAUGCAAGUCGAGCGGAUGAAGGGAGCUUGCUCCUGGAUUCAGCGGCGGACGGGUGAGUAAUGCCUAGGAAUCUGCCUGGUAGUGGGGGAUAACGUCCGGAAACGGGCGCUAAUACCGCAUACGUCCUGAGGGAGAAAGUGGGGGAUCUUCGGACCUCACGCUAUCAGAUGAGCCUAGGUCGGAUUAGCUAGUUGGUGGGGUAAAGGCCUACCAAGGCGACGAUCCGUAACUGGUCUGAGAGGAUGAUCAGUCAAACUGGACUGGGGACAGGGUCCAAAUCCCUCGGGAGGGAAGAGGUGGGAAAUAUUGGACAAUGGCGGAAAGCCUGUUCAAGCAUGCCGCGUGUGUGAAGAAGGUCUUCGGAUUGUAAAGCACUUUAAGUUGGGAGGAAGGGCAGUAAGUUAAUACCUUGCUGUUUUGACGUUACCAACAGAAUAAGCACCGGCUAACUUCGUG